Molecule: transfer RNA, 77 nt
Filed under: Actinoplanes sp. NBRC 103695
Lineage: Bacteria; Bacillati; Actinomycetota; Actinomycetes; Micromonosporales; Micromonosporaceae
Description: tRNA-Met
Rfam family: tRNA
About the family: Transfer RNA (tRNA) molecules are approximately 80 nucleotides in length. Their secondary structure includes four short double-helical elements and three loops (D, anti-codon, and T loops). Further hydrogen bonds mediate the characteristic L-shaped molecular structure. tRNAs have two regions of fundamental functional importance: the anti-codon, which is responsible for specific mRNA codon recognition, and the 3' end, to which the tRNAs corresponding amino acid is attached (by aminoacyl-tRNA synthetases). tRNAs cope with the degeneracy of the genetic code in two manners: having more than one tRNA (with a specific anti-codon) for a particular amino acid; and 'wobble' base-pairing, i.e. permitting non-standard base-pairing at the 3rd anti-codon position.
Source: RNAcentral
UGCGGGAUGGAGCAGUUCGGAGUGCUCGCGGGCCUCAUAAGCCCGAGGUCGCCGGUUCGAAUCCGGCUCCCGCUCCC